Molecule: ribosomal RNA, 368 nt
Filed under: uncultured Glomus
Lineage: Eukaryota; Fungi; Glomeromycota; Glomeromycetes; Glomerales; Glomeraceae
Description: SSU rRNA
Rfam family: Eukaryotic small subunit ribosomal RNA
Source: RNAcentral
AGCAGCCGCGGUAAUUCCAGCUCCAAUAGCGUAUAUUAAAGUUGUUGCAGUUAAAAAGCUCGUAGUUGAAUUUCGGGAUUAGUACGUUGGUCGUGCCUUGGUACGUACUGAUGUAACUGAUUCCUCCCUUCUGACGAACCGUUAUGCCAUUAAUUUGGUGUGGCGGGAAAUCAGGACUGUUACUUUGAAAAAAUUAGAGUGUUUAAAGCAGGCUCGCGCUUGAAUACAUUAGCAUGGAAUAAUGAAAUAGGACGUUAAUCCUAUUUUGUUGGUUUCUAGGAUCGACGUAAUGAUUAAUAGGGAUAGUGGGGCAUUAGUAUUCAAUUGUCAGAGGUGAAAUUCUUGGAUUUAUUGAAGACUAACUACUG